GCCUCCAUAGCUCAGUGGUUAGAGCACUGGUCUCGUAAACCAGGGGUCAUGAGUUCAAUUCUCAUUGGUGGCA
This 73-nucleotide transfer RNA is filed under the name Octopus vulgaris (common octopus). It matches the Rfam family "tRNA". Rfam says of the family: Transfer RNA (tRNA) molecules are approximately 80 nucleotides in length. Their secondary structure includes four short double-helical elements and three loops (D, anti-codon, and T loops). RNAcentral also lists the same sequence under 1 other name. The record is from Rfam by way of RNAcentral. Lineage: Eukaryota; Metazoa; Mollusca; Cephalopoda; Octopoda; Octopodidae.